Amborella trichopoda is the source of this 2361-nucleotide non-coding RNA. The record is from RefSeq and is a predicted model, not a curated record. Lineage: Eukaryota; Viridiplantae; Streptophyta; Magnoliopsida; Amborellales; Amborellaceae.
AUGGAGAACAUAGAAGUUUAUGUUGGAGUCUUUGAAGCCAACCAAAGUGCAAACUUGUCCACAGAGAGAGCAACAAUUUACGGUUAUUUAGAGAGAGAGAUGGCUGCUCCUGGUGUAUCAUUUUUGCUGCAAAAAUUGGAUAAACUGCUUGUAGAUGAAGCGCAGCUCCUAUCAGCAGUGAAGGAUGAUAUUCAGUGGAUCAAAGAUGCACUCAAAGGUAUGAAAAUGUUCCUAAAGAAUGCUGAUAAGAAAACAGAGACAAAUGAAGCAGUGGACACUUGGGUCGGACAAGUGCGAGAUCUGGCCUAUUAUGCCGAGGAUGUUCUCGAUAAAUUCAUUGAAAUUGCGAGAUUACAACGGAGGGAAUUCAUACGCCGUCUGAUGUCACCUGCUUCUUUUAUCAAGGAGCAAUACAUCAAGCAUGAGGUUGCAACUAAGAUAAAGCGUAUUAGAGCUCGUGCUGAUGAUAUUGCCAAGAGGAAGGAAAGGCUCAACCUUCAAAUGGAAGGAGAUGGAGGGAGCUCUUCAGAUGCCUUAAUUGCGAGAAGGGCAUAUCCACAAGUGAUUUCCUCUUUGCUGGAGAUGCAGACAUUACAUCAUAGAGGAGAGACAUCUGGAACAAAAGAUAUUGAGUAUUUACAUGACAAGAGGUAUCUGGUAGUGUUAGAUGAUGUGUGGAGUGAAAUUUUGUGGGAAGGGGUGGAAAAUGCAUUUCCUGAUUUACACAAUGGAAGCAGAUUUAUCAUUACAACUCGAAUGGCAGAAGUCACUUCACCAAUGUAUGUACUAAGUGCAGUAUACCAGCUCGAACGGCUAUCGAAAGAAGAGGCAUGGUCCCUCUUCUGCAAGAACGUGUUUUGGCGGGAAAACACAAACUCAUGCCCUUCAGAGUUAGAGGAGGUAGGGAGGCUUAUUGUCGAGGAAUGUGAUGGUCUCCCCCUCACAAUUGUUGCAAUAGGAAGCACGAUGUCUAAAACACCCAAAACAAUGCAUAGCUGGGAAAAGAUACGCCGUAGUCUUGCGUGGGAGUUGAACAAGAAUAAAGGUGUGAGGGGUGUUCUUACACUGAGUUAUAGGGACUUGUCGCCUCUUUAAAAAUAUUGUUUUUUGUAUUAUUGUUUGUUCUCAGAAGACUAUAAGAUCUCCCGCUCAAAAUUGAUUAGGCUAUGGGUUGCAGAGGGAUUCAUUAAAAGAAGGGGAGGAUUAACAGAGAUAGAAGUAGCAAAGGAUUACAUUAAAGAGUUGUUGGAUCGGAGCUUGAUACAAGUGGCAAAGACUGGCUUCACUGGGCAGGCCAAAGUAAUUCGAGUACACCAUGUAAUACGGAAGCUUGGUCUUUCUAUAUCAGAAAAAGAGAUUUUUGGAACAUUUUGUGAUGGCCAAAACAACCAAUUUUCUGAUAGAACUCGACUCAUCUCUGUCCAAAAUGCUUCAAGUUUCCCUAUUGAAAACAAAUUGUCUCGACUUCGAACAUUUCUUAUGUUUGGUGCAGUAGAGUGGUCACCAUCAUAUUUGCCUCAAUUAUUAUCUUACUUAAGAUAUUUGAGGGUUUUGAACCUAAAAGGGAUUCAUGUUGAGAGUCUGUCAAAUGAAGUGGGACACUUGGUUCAUCUAAGGUAUCUUGGACUAAGAGAUACAGGGGUCAAGAAGCUCCCCAAGUCCUUGGAGAACUUGAGAAGCUUGCAAACCCUUGACUUGGAGGGAUUUGAGGGAGAACUAUCACAUGGAAUCACAAAAUUAAAAGCUUUGACAUAUCUAAAUGUAUCACAAUUUUCUGUUGAAGGAAUUCCCAAAGGGCUGAGAUUUCCAAACGGACUGGGGGAUUGAACAAACCUCCAAACCUUGACAUACAUACAAGCUGAUUCAAAUAUUAUUAAAGACUUGCGUAACCUUAUACAUAUCCGAAAAUUAUAUAUUCAGUUAGAGAGAAGUGAAAAUGGAGAAGAAUUGUGGGGCAAACUACCCAAAUGCACUGCUUCUCUCCUCUGCCUCAAUGGAUUAGACUUGGCCUACUGCAAACUAACUGAAGACCCAUUUGCGAUCCUUCAAACAUUACCCAAUCUCAUGUACCUCAAUUUAAAUGGAGCAUCCUAUGUGGGUAAGAAAUUAGGCAAAUGCAGAGCAAGGGGCUUCCCCAAACUUCAAUGGCUCAAUCUCUAUAAUUUGAAUGAACUCAGAAAAUGGGGAAACGUGGAGGAGGGAGCCAUGCCAUGCCUACGCCGAUUAUUUGUUUGGAAUUGCAGAAAAUUGAGGCGGUUGCCUCAAGGCUUCCAAUACUUCACCACCCUUCAACAAUUGAAUCUCUUUCUUAUGUCCGAUGAGUUUGUGAGUCGGGCAAAGAGGGAUUGGCCCCCUUAUUAA